RNAcentral lists this ribosomal RNA (460 nucleotides) under uncultured bacterium. Its description in RNAcentral is "partial 16S ribosomal RNA". It matches the Rfam family "Bacterial small subunit ribosomal RNA", at positions 338 to 795 of the family's 1533-position model. The record is from RNAcentral.
CCUACGGGUGGCAGCAGUGAGGAAUAUUGGUCAAUGGACGCAAGUCUGAACCAGCCAUGCCGCGUGCAGGAAGACGGCUCUAUGAGUUGUAAACUGCUUUUGUACGAGGGUAAACGCAGAUACGCGUAUCUGUCUGAAAGUAUCGUACGAAUACGGAUCGGCUAACUCCGUGCCAGCAGCCGCGGUAAUACGGAGGAUUCAAGCGUUAUCCGGAUUUAUUGGGUUUAAAGGGUGCGUAGGCGGUCGGAUAAGUUAGAGGUGAAAUCCCGAGGCUCAACUUCAGAAUUGCCUCUGAUACUGGUCGUCUAGAGAGUAGUUGCGGUAGGUGGAAUGUAUGGUGUAGCGGUGAAAUGCUUAGAGAUCAAACAGAACACCGAUUGCGAAGGCAGCUUACCAAGCUACUUCUGACGUUGAGGCACGAAAGCGUGGGGAGCAAACAGGAUUAGAUACCCGGGUAGUC